CGAUUCACUCAAUACAAAUCAAUACACUCAAAACACUCCUGACGAAAAUCAAUUUGCUGCAAAUCUUUCGAUUGCUCAAAUCUCUCGACGAAAUCUCUCGAUUCAUUGGUUUUUUGGUCUGCUGCAAAUACUAAUAUUCAUUGGUUCUACAUCAAUUCACUGCUCAAAUAAUGGAUUGAGACAUCCCUGGGGGAUUAUUCAGUUGUUGGGUUGUAUUAAUUUGUUGGGUUUGCUGCAAAACUAGGGUUCAUAAAAACAGCGGUUUCUUAAAUUUCUGAUAAUGCAGGUUUUGCAGGACAUGUCUGGACAGAGCCUUCAAGUGCUAAAAGGUUCUACUUGAGCAAACUAGCCAUCUUUUCUAUGGCUGCACUAGUAUUUAUGAUGGCUUGAAUAUGUAAUGUCUCCGGUUUACAAGGGAAUAGUAUAAGCUAUGAUCUAUUUAUAAAAGGCAUAAUGUAUUGAUUUAAUGCUUUUAUUUGGAGCAUAAUAAAUAACUGUAAUAUUGCUUCUCAUAUUUGUGAACUAAUUAAUAUUACUUACCACUAUCUAUUACCGGAGUAUCUAUACUUGCAUACUCCUUUUACUUCUGUUCUCCGCAUAAGGAUGCUUAAAAGCAGCACCCUGUAAAAUUCUAGCGCAACUGAAAGAAUCUUAAAGAUACACCUGAAAAAAACCAGAAACAACUACACACCAAUUAGUCUUGCCGGAGUGGUAGAUUGGAUUUAAGAAAAUGUUCGGGUGGACUAGAAUAUCCAGUCUCAUGUACUGGAAGUUAGAGGAGAGUCAA
This is a long non-coding RNA of Daucus carota subsp. sativus, 787 nucleotides long. RefSeq lists it as uncharacterized. Lineage: Eukaryota; Viridiplantae; Streptophyta; Magnoliopsida; Apiales; Apiaceae. The transcript has 3 exons. The record is from RefSeq and is a predicted model, not a curated record.